This 62-nucleotide transfer RNA is filed under the name Schmidtea mediterranea. RNAcentral describes it as "tRNA-Glu". Lineage: Eukaryota; Metazoa; Platyhelminthes; Tricladida; Dugesiidae. The record is from RNAcentral.
GUAGAUUUAGUUUAAUUAGAAUAGGAAGUUUUCUCUUUCCAGGUAAAGUAUUUUAAUCUAUA